RNAcentral lists this ribosomal RNA (268 nucleotides) under uncultured bacterium. Its description in RNAcentral is "partial 16S ribosomal RNA". It matches the Rfam family "Bacterial small subunit ribosomal RNA", at positions 85 to 354 of the family's 1533-position model. The record is from RNAcentral.
CCGAUGGCGACCGGCGCACGGGUGAGUAACACGUAUCCAACCUGCCGAUAACUCGGGGAUAGCCUUUCGAAAGAAAGAUUAAUAUCCGAUAGGAUAUCAAGGUCGCAUGAUCUUGAUAUUAAAGAAUUUCGGUUAUCGAUGGGGAUGCGUUCCAUUAGUUAGUUGGCGGGGUAACGGCCCACCAAGACGACGAUGGAUAGGGGUUCUGAGAGGAAGGUCCCCCACAUUGGAACUGAGACACGGUCCAAACUCCUACGGGAGGCAGCAG